AAGCAGAUGAGCCUUCACUCUUGAAUAGGUGCCUGGAUAAGUUUUGAGGCAGAAAUUGCACUUGAAUUUGAUGUUUCCUCCACGGCUACUGGACGAAGCAGUACCGGUUUCAUUGACAACUCUCUGAACAUAAGCCCAGAGAGGAUAUUUUGGAUCCACCCCACCAGGUCCAUGCUGCCCUGAGUGCCCUCCCUCACUCUCACCCACUGAUGAUUGGCUCCCAGAUG
RNAcentral lists this long non-coding RNA (227 nucleotides) under Hordeum vulgare. RNAcentral's name for it is "long non-coding RNA (HVUL_LNC014079)". Lineage: Eukaryota; Viridiplantae; Streptophyta; Magnoliopsida; Poales; Poaceae. The record is from RNAcentral.